AAUGAAAUUAAUACUUUAUGUCGAAUUAAACUGAGUGAACGUCAAGAUAAAUUAUAAAAAAAUAACAAAAAAUAAUAAUACUUGGAAAGAAGGCAGAAAUGACAAUAUAUAAUGGUCCGGAUGGAGUUUACAGAAUAAUGAUUAAUGAGAUAACCAUACAGAAUAAAGGGUAAACACUAUAAAGAACACAGAAAAAUAGGCAAAAAAAAAAAUAAAGAAAAGAAAUUAAUUGUGAGCUGAAUUAUAAAGAACGAAGUAAAAUAACAACAGUACUGAAAUCCAAGGAAAAUUCAACACGAAAAGUCAUUAAUCUAAUGGCAUAAUGGAAAACAGACCAAACGAAUGGAAAACAACUGUCAUAUUCCUGAUGGUAUAGACAUGACCUUAUAUUAAACAUGAUUGAUUAAAGAAGGUUUAAUGGAUAAACCAUUCUCUUGUAUGAAAGUCGCAUGGAAUAUGUACCAUUCAUUAUUUUAUAUCUGCAACUAUGUAUGGAC
Molecule: long non-coding RNA, 497 nt
Filed under: Mytilus galloprovincialis (Mediterranean mussel)
Lineage: Eukaryota; Metazoa; Mollusca; Bivalvia; Mytilida; Mytilidae
Source: RNAcentral